Molecule: long non-coding RNA, 298 nt
Filed under: Gossypium barbadense (sea-island cotton)
Lineage: Eukaryota; Viridiplantae; Streptophyta; Magnoliopsida; Malvales; Malvaceae
Description: long non-coding RNA (GBAR_LNC014958)
Source: RNAcentral
GCAAACCUUGGGGCUGGAGGAAUUCCAGUAAGAUCGAAUUUUCCCAACAACCUACAAUCUUUCGUGAGACUCCUUUCACCUUCAAAGACCUGACAUCAAACCACAGCAAUUCAAAUAAGGUUCAAACUAUUACAGUUAUUAGCAUUAAAAGGAAAGGAAAAUCCAAUUCUUGAGUUUUUACAUGUAGGCAAGCAUAUCCAAGUGUACCUGAAUGGAGACGGUAGUCUGCUGGUCCUGAUAAGUGGUGAAAACUUGUGACUUCUUGGUUGGGAUAACAGUGUUUCUAGGAAUCAACUUG